AAUAUGAAGAAAAUUUGAAAGAAAUUCCCAAUAAAAUAGCAACAAACAAACAACGGGUUAAAUAAAGCAAUAAACAUAAAGUGACAAUAAUUGAGCUAAAAACAUUUGUAAAAUGGAAUAAAUUAAAGAAGAGAAAUUAUAAAAGAAGUGAUUUCAUAACCUAGAAAAAUUAUUUCAAUUGACAAGAAAAGAGAAAAAUGUGGCGACGUCGUCGUGGAUGUAUUUGACAUGGUAGUGUUAGUGGUGGUGGUGCCAAUAUGAGCGAGUGUGUGUGUAUAUGGUUGAAGAAAAUUCGUAAAUGGAAAACUGGGCAAUAAUCAUGAGGGGAGGCUUGCAAAAAAGGAAGAAUCGCUGGUAUGGUGGUGUAUGUUGAUUAUAGACCGGUCUAUUUAUUUAAGUCAUAACAUGUUGGUUUUAUCUUCUUUAAUGGCCAUUGCAGAUAACCACCACCAGCCCCCCAAAUAUCUUUAUCUGGUAGUGAGCGGACGGGAACACUGUUAAAUGUUAAUGUUAGCCGGUCAAUCACAUUGUUCAACCAGCUCGUUUGCUUGCUUGCAGUAACAGCAACCGGCGCUGCGCUGCCAUAGCAAUUGAAAAUAUAUCGUAGUCUCUGAGUAGUGUUUGCGCCAAUUACGUAACAUACCUUUUUCACUUUUCUUCAAUAAUGUGAAAAGGAAAUUUUGAUUUCCUUUCAUUAUUUUCGAAACUAUUCUAUUUUUGGUGUGAUCGGGUGAUAGAACCCAAAGGAUUUGAAUAGGGAUUUAAAUCAUGUUUCUAGAAUAUUCCUUGACGCCCUACUCUCUCCAGAGUGGUGUGCAUCAAAUCAUGUGAAUUUGAUAAAAUUUCACACCUUGCAUAGAUUUGAAAAAAAUACAUUUUGUUGUUUCUACACGUAUCUGUGGGCUGCCUAUCUUUGGUGUUGUAUAAAUAAUAGACUUAAAUUUUGUUUGUUUUCCCAGUUAUCAUUAUCAGUUCCAAUUAUUAACAUUAACAUACUUCAAUUGUUGUUAUUGUUGUUGGAGGCCAUUGCUGAAUAUGUGUUCUUAUUCAUUUCCAGUACACUUUCAUAACAAUGUAAAAUUGGGCUACCAGACAAUUUGGAAAUAGCUAUGAUGUAGUCCCAUUAAUUGUUGUUUAGUUCCAGAUGUGUCAAAUAUUUGUUGUGGUCCAACUAAAAUCUCUUAUUUUUUAGUAGGUACAGCUACCCAUUGUGGUAUAUGACACUUUUUCAUUAUGUAAUUCCAUUUUUAUCUUUGAGAUACCUACAUGACUAAUUUGCCGCAAUGGAGAAUAUUCUUUUCAUAAAUGCAUAUUUGUGACAAAAAUUGUUACAUAAUAUUGAAAUUGUUUACUAUUUCUAAUUAUAAGCUCAUUUUUUAUUUAUAAAAAAUAAUUGUUUACUAAACAUAAAUAGAAGAUUAUUUGUACUAAAAUAUUUAA
This is a long non-coding RNA of Musca domestica (house fly), 1440 nucleotides long. RefSeq lists it as uncharacterized. Lineage: Eukaryota; Metazoa; Arthropoda; Insecta; Diptera; Muscidae. The transcript is spliced from 2 exons. The record is from RefSeq and is a predicted model, not a curated record.